This 71-nucleotide transfer RNA is filed under the name Phrynosoma platyrhinos (Desert horned lizard). RNAcentral describes it as "tRNA-OTHER". Lineage: Eukaryota; Metazoa; Chordata; Lepidosauria; Squamata; Phrynosomatidae. The record is from RNAcentral.
GCCGGCGUGGCAUAGUGGUUUGAGUGUUGGGCUACCACUCUGGGGACCAGGGUUCGAUCCCUGGUUUGACC